UUUUUUUUAGUGAAAUUUGAGGAGAGGAAAGUCAAAACUUCUACGUGAGGGGGCCUCACCAGAGCGACAAAGGGACUGAGGAGUAAAAAGAAUCCUACUCUCCGAUAUAUAUAAUCCUAAGACUCAAAACGUUUUUGUUCUAGACUCAACAACGCCAGCGAUUCGAUCAAGCAGGGGGCUCCUAAGUCGGGGAUGGUUCUGAUUACCAACUUGUAACGCCCACGAUACAGCUAUAUCUCUCACGUGCCGAGGCACGACUUAGAGGCAUAACCGCAUUGUAGGUUUUGUCGCAAGAAGGGUCAUCUUCACACAAUCCCAUGUAAUGAACAAGAAUGGGAUAAAGAGAGUUGGCUUACAAUCGCCACUUCACACAAUACAUAAAUAAAUUCAUACAUCAUUCAACAUACACACAUAGACCGACUACGGUCAAAUCCAAAUGAAAAGAAGAUAACCCCAAAUGCUAGAUCCCCGAUCGUCCCAACUGGGCUCCACUAUUGAUCAUCCGGAAACGAAACAUAGUAACGAACAAGGUCCUCGUCGAAGCAUCACCUGCACUGGCAUCAUCGACACCUGCAACUGUUCUGGUAGAAUCUGUGAGUCACGAGGACUCAGCAAUCUCACACCCGCGAGAUCAAGACUAUUUAAGCUUAUGGGUAGGAAAGGGGUAAUGUGGUGGAGCUGCAGCAAGCACUAAGCAUAUAUGGUGGCUAACAUACGCAAAUGAGAGCAAGAAGAUAAGCAAUGCACGGUCGAGAAGCUAGAAAUGAUCAAGAAGUGAUCCUGAAGCUACUUACGUUCAAGCAUAACACAAGACUGUGUUCUCUUCCCGGACUUCGCUGAAAAGAGACCAUCAUGGCUACACACACGGCUGGUGCAUUUUAAUUAAGUCAAGUGUCAAGUUCUCUACAACCGGGCAUUAACAAAUUCCCAUCUACCACAUAACCACGGGCACGGCUCUUGAAAGUUUAUACCCUGCAGGGGUGUCCCAACUUAGCCCAUCACAAGCUCUCACGGUCAACGAAGGAUAUUCCUUCUCCCGGGAAGACCCGAUCAGUCUCGGAAUCCCGGUUACAAGAUAUUUCGGCAAUGGUAAAACAAGACCAGCAAAGCCGCCCGAAUGUGCUGACAAAUCCCGAUAAGAGCUGCACAUAUCUCGUUCUCAGAGCACACCGGAUGAGACAUCCUACGAGUAAAAACCAAGCCUCAAGUUUCCCCGAGGUGGCCCCGCAGUCUACUCGGUUCGGACCAGCACUCAGAGGAGCACUGGCCCGGGGGGGUUAAAUAAAGAUGACCCUCGGGCUCGCGAAAACCCAAGGGAAAAGGCUUAGGUAGGCAAAUGUAAAACCAAGGUUGGGCCUUGCUGGAGGAGUUUUAUUCACAGCGAACUAUCAAGGGGGUCCCAUAAAUCCCCAACCGCGUAAGGAACGCAAAAUCAAGGAACAUAACACUGGUAUGACGGAAACUAGGGCGGCAAGAGUGGAACAAAACACCAGGCAUAAGGCCAAGCCUUCCACCCUUUACCAAGUAUAUAGAUGCAUUAAUUAAAUAAGAGAUAUUGUGAUAUCCCAAAAAUAUCCAUGUUCCAACAUGGAACCAACUUCAACUUCACCUACAACUAGCAAUGCUAUAAGAAGGGCUGAGCAAAAGCGGUAACUUAGCCAAACAAUGGUUUGCUAGGAAAGGAUGGUUAGAGGCUUGACAUGGCAAUACGGGAGGCAAGAUGUAGCAAGUGGUAGGUAGAGCGACAAAGCAAUAGAGCGAACAACUAGCAAGCAAAGAUAGAAGUGAUUUCGAGGGUAUGGUCGUCUUGCCUGAAAUCCCGCAAGGAAGAAGAACGAGUCCAUGAAGAAGACAAACGGACGUAACCGAACGAAUCCUCACAACUCCGGAACGAAACCGAAGCUAACGAGAGAAGCAAACCGGAAAGAAGCAAACAACAUGGUAAACAACCAGCACAUAAGCAUGGCAUGAUGCGCAAUCAAGUAUGAUGCAUGUCCGGUUUAAUGAGUCAUGACAUGGCAAAGUGCAACAAACAAUACAACAAAUUAAGUGGAGUUCAAUAUGCAAUGAGUUGCAUAUUGAAGAAACACCACAUUCGAGUUAUUUAGUUCGCUCUCGUUAAGGUACACAACAAUAUUAAAUGUUGUCAAACAUGGCAAGGGGUGAAGCAUAAGUACACUAACUAUUUAAGCAAGUUUAAAUGAGGCCGGAACAACAAACAACAAUUCCGGAAAAUCCUCAUGUCCAUAUUUUAGAUAUGGUACUGUUCCGCCCUAAACCAUAUUUUAGAGUUGUUAAACAUGCAAAGUAAUAUCACCAAGUUAAACUAUGCAUUUUUUCACCCCAUUUACAUAUAAAGUUCAUUAAAUUCCGAGCUACGGUUAUUUAGUUAUGAAAUAAAUCAUUUUAACAUGGCAUUUAAGCAAAUUUAAACAAGCAGCAUUUUAAACAUUUUAAACAUGGAUGAAAGUAGCAUAUUAUGAAACUAGAUGAACUUCUAAGCACUUUUCAUAUUUGAAGUUUUAACAUAUGGUGCAUGAUUAUUUAGUUAUUGAAUGCAUGAACAGCAAGGGGUUGUCUGCAAAUCUGUAAUACUCUGGAUAAUUGGACAAAUUCGCAGAACGAGAAAAAAAACAUGAUUCAGGCCGCAUCUGCUGGGCCAACAGCAUACAGGAGAGGGGCUGCAGGGGCUGCUCACCAUGGGCCAUGACCCAGAUCGGAGGUGAGGUGAGGCCGGAAGGGGGGCGCUGGGCCGAAGCCAGGCUAGCUGGGCCAGAUCUGGAGACGCGCUGCAAGGGCACGCCUUGCGGUCCACGAGAUGGAGCGGGGGAAGUCGAUGCGGUCAACGAGCGGGCGAGCGGGAAGCAGAGGAGACCGAGGCGCCAUGGCAGGGGAACGGCAGCGACGGCGGGACUUGGGGGUGCCGGCGGCAGGGAUGGGGCCCUGGCGGCGGGAUCGGCCGAGAACAGGCAAGGGCGGCGGAGGAAGGCGACGGCUUGGCGGUUGGUGUCCACGACGUUCGCUGUUGCCUGCAGAACGAUGACAGGGGAAUUCAGAGAAGAAACGGGGAAGUGAAGAAGAAGGAGACGGCGAGGGAGAUGGCAUGGGCGCGACGGGGCCUGCCUGGGGUUGCCGGCAACAACGAGGACGGUCGUCAGAGGCAUGAAGGAGUGGCCAUGGUUGCCAGGGCGGCGAGGACGGCGACGCGAGGUGGAGGAGCGUUCGGGCGCUGCUGCUGCUCCAGGCGGCAGCCAUGGUUCCCUGCGAGGAACAACGGACGGGGAAGGCACAGUCAGGGAGGAGCAGCGUGAGGAGGGAAGGAAGAGCAGGGAGGAAGGGCACGCUCCUGUGUGCUCGGGGCGAGACCGCCAUGGACAGAGUGGAGGGGGCUUGAGCUCUUGGUUGCUGCUGGAGGACGAAGGGGUCCUGGUCGGUGGCUUCGAUUUCCGGCAGGAGAAGUGGCUCGGGGUCGAGGACGAGCUCAUGGCUCGAGGGAUGGGGUGGAUCGAGCAGAGGCCGGGUGAUGGUUGGACGGGGAUGGAUCCCAAGGAAGAGGAUCGGGGUGGCGGCGGCGCCGAGGAAAACGAGGGAGGCACGGGAGGAUGGUGGUUGGCUGUGGGUGAUCCCGAUGGGGAUUGAGCGGGUGGCGGCGCGAUGGGACAAGAAGCCUAGGUUUUAGGGUUAGGCCAAUAGGACUAUAUAUAUAGAAAAGGAGGGCUAAGUUUGGACCCUCCGAUUAAAUCUGAUGGUCGAGAAAAAAUAGGCUAGGGAGUCCAAUUAAGAAAACGAAGAUGUUUAGGGAUGAUCUGACUCCAACGGUCACGACCGCCCGGAUCGAGUUCGGGGAAGUUUUUGGACGCGCACGAGAGGGGGUUCUAAGAGAGGUGAUGAAGGCAAAGGGAGAAACGGCAACGACGAGCGAAUGCAAGUUUUAAAACAUUACUGCAACGGAGUGCCGAUGCAAUGCAAAUGAUGACAUGACGAAAUGCAACAAACAAAUAAAUAACAUAGCUGACUCGCAAAACAAGGAAGGCAUCUGGAGCAUCGGUCUUGGGGCGUUACAACACUCCACCACUACAAGAGCAUCUCGUCCCGAGAUCUAGGAUGGCACCGGAGAAAAGCGGAAGAGAAGAGGUAAAACAAAGUUGCUUCUUUAACAAACAAGUGAAACCAACAAACCUUGAUAGGUUGAACAAGUUGAAGAAGAAUACAAUGGAGAUGAACACAAUUGAGAGCACUGCGGUAGUAAAAAGAAACAAGGAACACCAUGUGAACCUUGGAGGUUGCAAAGCUAUGAAUGACGAGUACAAUGGACAAGAAGGAAUUGAAACCACUCUGGCUAAAACGAGAUAAACAAGGACCAAUGAAGAACAAAUUCGGACAUCACUCCGGUUGAAGAGAUGCAAGACUUGAUAAGAUGAAAGAACUUGAAUGAGAGCACAACACUCUGGUUAAAUGGGUAAGCAUGAAAAGAAUAUGAUCUUGGCAAAACGAGAUGAUGGGUGAAGAGAGCAACAUCACAAUGCCUCCGGAACGAAAGAAUAGUAGCUAGUUUGUUGGGAUAAAGGGACAGAGAAGAAAAUGACAACUUCCACCACAAUUGAAUUUCAAGAGCAUCCUUGCAAGGAAGGAUUGAACGGAGUUCUUGGGAAACUAGCCACGAGAAGAAUAAGCUUGUAGUGGGCUUAUGGAAACAUCUCAAAAUUAUGAGGUGACAAACGGCCACUAACGAAUACCAUUGAUUUGAUUGAGAGUACCAAAGAGACGAAAAACUUCUUCCACCAAGAUGAUAAAGAGAUAACUUGGAUCAUUGUUAAGCACCACAGUAGCAACAUUCCUUAGGAAAGGCUUUAGAUGAAAUCUCUACCAAGAUAACUCCAAAGAAGAGAUUGAUGGAUUUAAAAUACCUCAUUCUUAACAACAUGUGAAUCAUGGAACAUGAAUGGAAAUUAUCAAGAAGGACAUAACACCACCUCAAAAGAUAUUGUAGAAAGAAUUGCACUUCCGAAUGCAAGAUAAAGAAUACUUGAGCUCCUCCAACAAGAAUCUUGAAGAACACUUCGAGAAUGAAUUAAAUCCUUGAUGAACCAUCAUGUAGAGCCUCCAUGAAGAACUCCGAUAAAAAAAGGAUGAUAAAAAAAGAGAAGUUGAGAACACAAGUCAAGCCUUGCGAUAAUUUAGAUGGAGCUUCGCGACGAGAUAAUGCAGAAAAAGCUUGGAACUCCGGAAGAAGCUGAACACAUAUAAUUGAGAAAUUGAUGCCAUUACGAACUCCGGAAGAAGGAAUUAAUCACUUGGAUGAAAAAAGAACAAGAAUUAUGUUAUGCGUAUCCUUCACCAAUUUAGAUUGAUGACAAGCAAUGGAUUUGGCAUACUACUUAUUCUUGUAGAAAGGAUUAAGAGAGAUAUGGCGUAGACUUGAGAAAGUUCUUCAACGAUCCGCCGGUAGGAUUGGAAAGAACGAAUGAAUUGAUAUGAUAACCAAGGAAGAGAACUCUUGAACGAACCACCGUAAGAAUUGGAAAUGAAAGUAGCAAAGGCGCAAUUCACCGGGAAGAAUUAGAAAACGAAUAAAGAUACUUGACAGAAUUUAGACACAUGAGAACGAAAAUCAUGAACUGAUUAGAGGAUAUUUGAAUGAUGCACCGGUAAGAUUUGGAGAAUGAGAUCUAAAGCUGAGAAUGAAUAAUACUGAGAUGAUGGGCUCUGGAGAAUCAAAAUGAAAAGACUCCUGAAUUGCUCCGGAUGGGUGAAAAGAAUUCUCGCAAUCGAAAACAAUUAUGAGAGGAUGGCAUCAAGCUAGGACCAUGAAUCUUCAAGAGAAUGGACAAGAUAUAAGGGAAACUCUUCUUCGGUCUUCAAAAUCCGAGAAUGACGACGAGAAACCACCAUGAAUUGUUGAGAUACUCCGGGAUGAAAAUUAGAAAUGUUGAACCAACGAUGAAAAGAAUUUGAAAGCGAUCUUGGAGAAGGAAUAUGACUGAUGGUACUUCAUUCUUACGUCAAACUUCAAAAAGAAUUUGGGAAUAGCUCCGGGAAAAUUAGAAGAGUCAGGUAAGAUCCUGGGAAAAGACAUGUGGGUUAGGGCCCACUCAAAAGAACCACCGUUGAACGAUUGCUUGAAAAGAGAGAUUGCACCGGUUGAAUUAAAUGGCUUGAAUGAGAUAACAACCUCGAAAUAGCUUGAAAGGAUUAAGAAUACAAAUGCGAAUCUUCUAAGCUAUCUUCAACACUCCGGAACAAAUGAAUAGCGAGAGGUGAAUGAUUAAUUGGUGCACCGGAAUGGGAAAGCAUUGUGAAAAGAGGAAAAGGAUAUGAUCAACACCGAAAGCUUGCCUUGAAACCACCGGGGAAGAUAAGAGAACAAAGAAUGAUAAACUUGAAGCUUCCUUAGCAUAUUCAUGAGAAUCACCAGGUAAGGACAUGGAGGAAAAGAAUGAAGAGACUUCACAUCAAUAAAAAGGAUACUUGAUUAAGAAAUCUGAGUCCUUGAAGAAAAGGGUGGGAGGGUGGGAAAACAAAGGCAACUUGAGUCGGAUGAAACGAACACCGUUGAGAAAAAGCUUAGAAUUGAUCUAGCGAAUGUUGGAAUGAUCGGAUUUACUUGGAGAGAAGCACGCCGGUUGGAAAUAGAAUUAAGAUGGCAAUCUCGAUGAUUAAGAAGGAUUAGCAUCCAUAUAGAAAUAUGAGAACACCGCUUAGAAUAAGGUAUGGAAUCAACACUUGGCAUUGAAGCAACUCGAAUACCACAAAACAAAACAAAAACAAAGGAUUUGGCUUGCAGAAUAAGCCGGAAACAAACAUAUGAUAGAUCCCAUAUCGUAUCAUGUGUGUGUUGGAAAGAUAUCCUACGAGAUACUUGAAUUCCCACUUAUAAACUCCUGAAACUUUCUAGUUAUGCAAUCUGGUGUUGGGGAUACAGGGGACUGUAGCGACCAGACCUCAAAUGGUCUGUGCUGCUGUGCACCAGUGUCAUCCCUGGAUCAGUAAUGCUGACACGCACAGUACAAAUGGAGGAUUUAUAACAGAGUAGCAAUCACACACUUAUUACAUAGAAUAUCUCCAAAGAGAUUAAGUAUGAUAAACAUGGCUUAAGGCCAUCUAAUAACGAUAACAGCGGAAGACUUGGAAGAUAAGUGAGUCCAUCAACUCCAGCGGCAUCACUGAGUAUAAGACCACGACCUAAGGCACUUUACUCGUCGUCUGAAAAGUCUGCAACAUGAAACGUUGCAGCCCGGAAACGGGUCAGCACAUAGAAUAUGCUGGCAAUGUAACACAUAGAGAAUAAUGAACAGUAAUAAGGCUAUACUACAUGCAUAUGUGGCUGGUGGAAAGCUCUAUGGUUACAGUUUUUGCGAAAAGCCAAUUUUAUCCUACUUCAAAAGAAUAUAUUUUAUUUAACUAUCAUGGUGGUUGUGAAACAUUGAGAUGGUUGACAGCAUCUCAAUCCCAAUUAAAUGUCAUCAAUAACCCAACAAAAUUAAUUAGAAGUAACAUAGUGUUGAGCUUCACAUGAUAAUCCAGGUACUAGAUACUCAAGUUGUCCAUAACCGGGGACACGGCUAACCAUGAUUAGUUUGUACACUCUGCAGAGGUUUGUGCACUUUUCACACAAGACUUGAUCUCCUCCGUUGGAUUACUCGCACUACAUGGUGUUUGAGUAACGGAUGACCAAGACACAGUCUUUCAGAAGUGUUUGCACCUUACGUAUGGGUAGACAGUUACACCUACUUUCCCCUACAUCUGCUAGUCUACCACUGUAAGAGUUCACACAACUUCAUCAACUAUGCUAGAGCCCAUAAUAGCUUGCGGCUGCACACGGAAGUUUCUAGCAUGAAUAAUCUUAUGAUCCCUUUGAACCUGGGUGGCGGUCCAAAAGAAAAACAGGCAAUCCUGGAAUACCCAGGUACCUCAAUCCACCCAGAUGUGAGUUUUAGUUGCCACCUUAAGUAAACCAUUAUUAACAAUCUCACAUCUGUCAUGAAUUUCACUCAAACCCAAACCACGUCUACGAGCAUAGCAUGGCAAUAAUAAUAGCAACGUAGAAGUAACUCCCAAGGGUUUGAUAAUAAAACAGGUAAUAGGUUCUACCUCAACUACUUCCCAAUACCCACAAUUUAAUUAGAUCCUAGUCAUGCAAUGGUUGAGGAAAUAGAUCUAAUGCAAUAAAACUGGGUGUGGAAGGGUAUGAUCAAAGUGUUACUUGCCUUGCUGAUGAUCCGCAAAACCUAGCGAUUCGAAGUAACAAGCGGCACACUCCGGGUACUCUAUCGCAAACAAACAAGCAUACAAUCAGUACUCAUCUAAUGCACAGGUAAAACUCGAAUGAAAUAUCCAACCAGAAAGUUCAACUUAAGAACUCCGGUUUACAAAAAAAAUCAACUCGAAAGAAACAACGAAAGUCAAACUGCGAAAGAAAGUAGCUUCGUUUACUAAUCUGGAUCUAGGUCAAAUUUUACUGUAGCAAAAACUUGUGUGAGUAGGUUAAACAGAAAGAGAAUUUCGAGACGAAACUCUAGGCGCUUGAAUCGCCUGAUUCCGAUAAACGAGCGAGAAGUUAAACAGAAACGAAGAUUCGAUCAGAAAUCGAAUCUGAGAAAAUAACGGAAAAAUCCGACGAAAAAGAAAAACGGACGAACGGUUAAAGAACGGACGUUCGUUAACAGAGAAAAACCGACGAACGCGUUCGUUGAAACAAACGGUUCGGUGAACGCUCGCAAAAUAACAAAACCGAAAAAAAAACGAUCUAGGUUUUUUUUAAACGAAGGGUUUUUUUUUACAAAAAUUGGCAACGACGAACGAGGCAACGAGGCAGUACCUCGUCGGGGCAGUGCUCCGGCGGGGCUCCGGGCGAGGGGCGGCGAGGGGCCCGGGGUGCGGGGCUNNNNNNNNNNNNNNNNNNNNNNNNNNNNNNNNNNNNNNNNNNNNNNNNNNNNNNNNNNNNNNNNNNNNNNNNNNNNNNNNNNNNNNNNNNNNNNNNNNNNNNNNNNNNNNNNNNNNNNNNNNNNNNNNNNNNNNNNNNNNNNNNNNNNNNNNNNNNNNNNNNNNNNNNNNNNNNNNNNNNNNNNNNNNNNNNNNNNNNNNNNNNNNNNNNNNNNNNNNNNNNNNNNNNNNNNNNNNNNNNNNNNNNNNNNNNNNNNNNNNNNNNNNNNNNNNNNNNNNNNNNNNNNNNNNNNNNNNNNNNNNNNNNNNNNNNNNNNNNNNNNNNNNNNNNNNNNNNNNNNNNNNNNNNNNNNNNNNNNNNNNNNNNNNNNNNNNNNNNNNNNNNNNNNNNNNNNNNNNNNNNNNNNNNNNNNNNNNNNNNNNNNNNNNNNNNNNNNNNNNNNNNNNNNNNNNNNNNNNNNNNNNNNNNNNNNNNNNNNNNNNNNNNNNNNNNNNNNNNNNNNNNNNNNNNNNNNNUUUUUUAAUAAGUUCCGCGGAAAAUAAUUCGUAGAAAAAUAAAUAAAAGUCAGAAAAAUAUAAAAUAAAUGUUCCCCGUCUAGUUAGAAAAUCUAGAAUAGGGUGAACAUUUUUUUAACACAAAAUAAAUAAUUUGAAAACAUGCAAUAUUUUUAAUGCAAUAAAAAUUGCAAAUAAAUUCCAAAUAAAUUCCAAUAAAUGAUUUUAACAUUUUUCCUGCAGUAUUUCAAUUGUUUUGGAGAAGUCAUAUUUUCUCCUCUCGUUUAUUUUAAACUGAAAUAUUUUUCUAGAGAGAAAAUAUUUAAAACCAAAAUCCUCAUCUUAUAUUUGAUGAAAAUCAAAUUUGAAAAUUCGAGAAAAUCCCCAACUCUCUCCGAGGGUCCUUGAGUUGCUUAGGAUUAUCGAGGAUUUGUCAAAAUGCAAUAAAACAUGAUAUGCAAGGAUGAUCUAUGUAUAACAUACCAAAUUGAAAAUUUGGGAUGUUACAGGGACGCAAUAUAUCUCACCCAAACUAACAAUACCUAGAUCCAGCUAUAUCCAUCCGUCAACACAUAACCAAGAAAACUCCUGAAAUCGUGUACCUCAACCUUCGAAAAGCAUCCGUUAUACGAGUUAUGGCAAUACUCCCGAACUCCCGCCCCAGUACUAGGUGGCGUCGAGGUGAUCUCACCAACAAACUACAUAAAAGAGAUUUUCAAUGUCGGCGAAACUCAGGUAUUCCAGAACUGCAACGAUAAAAUUGUGACGACAACACCUCGGAGCUCAACUCCCCGGGACACUGCUACAACCCCUAAAUGUCAGGAGGCACCAAGAACAAUGUUCUCGUCGCAAAAUGGUCAUUUUCAUAAUGUCAAAACAUGGUGAAAAUGAUUCCAUCAGAACAGACUCGACGAAACGAAGAAGUGGGCUUUGGAUUCACCUGAUUUGGAGCUAUGGGUAAAAAGAUAGGAUAGUUUUUCUACCAGGGACCCAUUUGUAAAUAAAAUCAUCACAAAUAGGCCCUUAGCCGGAAAAACAGAACGCGCACUCCAGAGAAUACGCCUUCUCCUCUGGAAAACGUAUUCCACGCUGUAACAGAGAGAAAAUAUGCUUUCAGUAAAGGAAAGCGUACUUUGGCUGAAGUAGAAGCAGAAUAUGCUUUUGGAAGAAGAAAACGGAAUCCUAGGGAGUUCGUCUCCACUUAUCUGACAUGGCGGGGCGGGGUCAACGGCUGAGCGGCUGAUGCGCGGGGCCCGCGGCCAGCUGGCAGGAGGAACUCGUCUCCUUCUCCUCCUCGCCCGCGCCCGCGCCUGGCCAAGGCAGAGCCGGCCCCGAUGGCACUCGCCGGCGGCACAUGCCACCGCAGGCGGCGCCCGACCUACCCACGGGCUCAGGAGAUGGAGCCGCAUCGCCUGGGGUAGGCCUCGUUCGCCGAAGGGCGCGGGGAAGGGCAUGGCGUUGGCUGCGGCGGAAGAAGGCUUCGGCCACCGGUGAACUCGGGGCAAACGACCACCGGAGGAGAAAGAGAUGUGUUGGGCGGCUCGGGGGUGGUGGUGGAAGAGAAGGAGGGGGACGGCGUUGAGCGAAUUUAGGCCGAGGCCGAGGCGGGCACGGCGGCCAUGGAGGAGGAAAGAGGGGCGCUCGAGCUCCGAGGAGCGGUCGGGGUGGCUGCUAGGAGUGAGUGAGGUCGAGUGGUGAGGUUGAGAGGCCUCAGGGUGGGCUUAUAUAGGCGGGGGAGGAGGGGGUCGAGCUGGCGUCGCCGCGGACGUGUGCCCACGCUCGCGAGCUCGUAGGUAGACGACGUAGGAGGAGCAGUGGAGGUUCUCACGGGGAGGAGAAGGCCAAAGGAGCGCAGGGAGGAAGAAGACGGCGAGCUCCGAGCCAAACCGCCACUGUUCGCCCGUGGGCGAGCGUCGGCGAGCGUCGGUGAGGAAGCUGCCGGAAGGGGAGAGGGGUCCAAGGGAACGGCGACGAUGAGGUGAAGCCAAGGGACAUGCUCACGCGUGCGAAGACGACGAGAGGAGGAGGUGCCGAAGCACAAACGACGCCUGGGCGCCGCCGCAGUGCACAGAGCGCGCGCACUGUUAUGCCAAUAACGUGGUCACCGUGUGCACUGGCAUGUAGCGGGGGCAAUGAGCUGGAACGUGUUGUCUAGUGGUAAGUUCUUCCAAGGGAGGUUUCAACUGCGGUGGUAGAUCUAUGAAAAACGCUUUGGUUAAAUGGUAAUCAUCGUCUGAAGUUUACUGCAGUAAACUUGGCCGAGCACUGCUGAUCAACAGAGAUUUGAUUGGGUCAAAUGGAGUUGUCUGCGAUGAUUAACUAAGGAAGGACUAAAAUCCUAGAGAGUUUGAGGGGAAAUGGACCAUUAAUUAAUAUGGUUGCUUUGUAACUACCAUUAUCGGUCUAGAAUUAAAAUCAUGAUGGUUCACUCACAUAGAGUAGCCACUUGAGCUGAAAUUUGGCAAGGCUUAGUGAUUUGGACAUAUAAAGGUGCUGUAAAAAUUUCAUACCAAUUGGAUUCACCAAAAUGGUACUUCAUUCAUAGCUAUUCUCUCUGUCCAGAAACUUGCAAAAAUUAUAGAUAAAUAAUGGCUAGAUGAAUUGGUCCCAAAUUUGGUGGAGAGAGGUUUUAUGGUCAUGAGAAUGCUCUGGUAAAUUUUCAAGCAAAAUGAAGCAAUAUAAAAUGUACUUGCUUCACAAUCUGAAAAUAUUGACAGAAGCAAAGAUUUGACCCUGUGCUCACAUAGAGGAUUGGAUAGGGCUGAAAUUUGGAGGAGGGUUAUUAUAUGAGCACAUUAAGGAGUGCAAAUUUUCAACUCAUUUGGAUAACCCUAGCUAGUACUUCCUUCACAAUGCCUUCUGUUUGACAAAAAGUUUGAAAAAUUGCUGAGGAAGAUUGGCUAGGCAAAUAAAGUUGAAUUUUGGCAUGAGGCAAUUAUUUGGACAUAAGAGAAUGCCCAAAAGUUUUGGGAGCAAUCAUGAAAGGAUAGGUGGCACUUCCUUCACAUAAAGCCACACUGGACAGAAAUGAAGAAUAAUCAUUGGGGAAUUAUUCUUGGGCUAGGGCAGGAAAGUUUGGGCAUCCAAAGAAAUUUUGAGAAUUAAUUGGGGUUUUUGGGAUGAACAGAAAUAUAGGUUGCUUCACAACCUAGGGCAGAUAGGGUUAUUCCUUUAAUAGAAAAAGGAAUAUUCCCGAGAAAAAGAUUUUAGGGUUUGGUCAAGGAGGGAAGUGACAUGAUCUUGGAAAGGUUUUGAGAAUGAUGAGCCACUUGGGAGGGGGAAUGAGGAUGAUUUCCCAGGUGGCAAGGCCACAGAACCACUCCAAAAAGAAAAACAGAGCAAAACCAAAUAAAUCAAAAGAAAAAGAAAAGGGCCAAAAACCAGGGUUGCUGGACGGUGAGGGGUUGGAUGAGAUUUACCAUGUAAUCGAGUUAGUUUUGUUAGGGUUUGAACCCUGGUAUCCAUUAUGCUCUAAGAUUGAUGUUGCUAUGACUUUGCUAUGCUUAAUGCUUGUCACUAGGGCCUGAGUGCCAUGAUUUCAGAUAUGAACCUAUUAUGUUUUCAUGAAUAUAUGUGAGUUCUUGAUCCUAUCUUGCAAGUCAAUAGUCACCUACUAUGUGUUAUGAUCCAGCAACCCCGAAGUGACAAUAAUCGGGACCACUCCCGGUGAUGACCGUAGUUUGAGGAGUUCAUGUGUUCACUAACUGUUAAUGCUUUGGUCCGGUACUCUAUUAAAAGGAGGCCUUAAUAUCCCUUAGUUUCCAAUAGGACCCCGCUGCCACGGGAGGGUAGGACAAAAUAUGUCAUGCAAGUUCUUUUCCAUAAGCACGUAUGACUAUAUUCAGAAUACAUGCCUACAUUACAUUCAUAAACUGGAGCUAGUUCUGUGUCACCCUAUGUUAUAACUGUUCAAUGAGGAAUCGCAUCCGACAUAAUUAUCCAUCAUCGAUCCAUUGCCUACGAGCUUUUCACAUAUUGAUCUUUGCUUAGUUACUUUUCCGUUGCCACUGUUACGAUUGCUAUAAAAACUGCUACUGUUACUUUUGCCACCGUUACCGUUACUUCCAUACUGCUUUGCUACUAAAUACUUUGUUGCAGAUAUUAAGUCUUUCAGGUGUGGUUGAAUUGACAACUCAACUGCUAAUACUUGAGAAUAUUCUUUGGCUCCCCUUGUGUCGAAUAAAUUUGGGUUGAAUACUCUACCCUCGAAAAUUGUUGCGAUCCCCUAUACUUGUGGGUUAUCAAGACUAUUUUCUGGCGCUGUUGCCAGGGAGCAUAGCUCUAUUCUUUGAGUCACUUGGGAUUUAUAUCUGUUGAUCACUAUGAGGAACUUGAAAGAUGAAAGAACCAAGAUUUUCCCCUCAAGUGCGAGGGGAGGUAAGGAAUUGUCAUCUAGCUCUGCACUUGAUUCACCUUCUGUUAUAGUACAUUUGCGACACCUACACCUGUUAUUGAUUCUGAUAUGUCGCAUGUUAUUGAUGAUGCCACUUCUUCUAUGCAUGAUGCUUAUGAUGAAACUACUUCUAUGAUUGAUAAUACUGUGCCAUUAGGUGAAUUUCUUGAUGAACAACUUGCUAGGGUUAGAGAGAAUGAAAUUAUUGAAACAGAUAAUAUUGAUGAAAGUGAUGAUGAAGAUUCUCCCCCUAGAUAUGAAUUGCCUGAUGUGCCCGAGGGUUAUGUUAUGGAUGAAGAAACAGAUAUAUAGGGGAAGGGAGGAGGGGGUGGCGCCCCUAGGGUUUCCCCUAGGGGGGCGGCGGCCAGGGUAGAUGGGAUCUCCCCCAGGGGGACUUGCCCCCAAGCCGGGAGGUGGGAAACCCUAGGGGGGCACCCCCAGCCCUCCUGGUUACGUGAGAUGGUGUGAGAGGGGUGCUCAGCCCUUGAGUGGGCUGGUUUGCCCCCUCCCCUUGGCCCAUGGGCCCCCCCAACACUUGUCGUGGCCCCCCGAAACCCCUUUCGGUGACGCUGGUCAUCACCUAGUACCCCUGGAACAAUUCCGGACUCCAAUACCCUUCGUCCAAUAUAUCAAUCUUCACCUCCGGACCAUUCCGGAGUUCCUCGUCAUGUCCGGGAUCUCAUUUCGGACUCCGAACAACCUUCGGUAACCACCAUAAUGACUCAACUAUACUUAUAUCGUCACCAAAAGUUUAGUGUGUAGACCCUCCGGGUUCGAUAACUAUGCAGACAUGACCGAGACACCUCUACGGUCAAUAACCAAUAGCGGGACCUGGAUGCCCAUAUUGGUUCCUACAUAUUCUACAAAGAUCUUAUCAGUCGAACCUCGAUGUCAAGGAUUCAGCUAAUCCCGUAUGAAGGUCCCUUUGUCUAUCGGUAUGUUACUUGCCGGAGAUUCAAUCGUCGGUAUCUCCAUACCUAAUUCAAUCUCGUUACUGGCAAGUCUCUUUACUCAUUCCGUAAUACAAGAUGCCGUGACUAACUCAUUGGUCACAUUGCUUGCAAGCUUAUUGUGAUGUUGUAUUGCCGAGUGGGCCCUAAGAUACCUCUCCGUCAUACGGAGUGACAAAUCCCAGUCUUGAUCCAUGCCAACUCAACAGACACCCUCGGAGAUACCUGUAGAGCACCUUUAUAGUCACCCAGUUAUGUUGCGACGUUUGGUACACACAAGGCACUCCUCCGGUGUCAGUGAGUUGCAUGAUCUCAUGGUCAUAGGAACAUAUACUUGACAGCAGCAAAAACGAUAGCAGUAAACUUGAUACGGUCAUAUGCUAAGUUCAUAGUUUGGGUCUUGUCCAUCACAUCAUUCUCCUAAUGAUGUGAUCCCGUUAUCAAAUGACAACUCAUGUCCAUGGCUAGGAAACCAUAGCCAUCUUUGAUCAACGAUCUAGUCCGGUAGAGGCUUACUAGGGACAUGUUGUUGUCUAUGUAUCCACACAUGUAUUUGAGUUUCCAGUCAAUACAAUUAUAGCAUGGAUAAUAAACGAUUAUCAUGAACAAGGAAAUAUAAUAAUACCCACUUUAUUAUUGACUCUAGGGCAUAUUUCCAACACGUCAUCCGAUCAAUCGAUCUAGGGUUUCCCUCAGAGGUGGCGGGUAGGGGUGUAGAGCUUCUCCACGAUGAUGCCUUCAAGAAGGGACGACGCAGAAAAUGCCAUCGUCGUCGUCCUUGGCAAUGAGCUAAGAGCAGGGUUUUCACCCGGAUCCACUCGAGGAACUUCCAUACAUCCUUGUGUGCACGGACUGCCACCGGCCACUGCCGUUGUGCAUGGACCAGGCCGUACUGGCCAGAUCAGAUCUGACCGAAAGCCAGACCACACGUACAGCCGAUCCAUCCACCAGGCCCUCCAUGUCGCCGCCACCGAUUCGAGAUCCGCUCGCCGCAGAGUCGCCCGCCGCCGCCGCGAAGCAGGGCCGGCCGCUGCGCCGCAGGAUCGGAACAGCCGCACCUCCAUACGCCGGGGGCCCCACCCCACGCGAAGCCGCGGGAGAGAAGCAGAGACCCCCGCCACCGCCAUCCACCCCCGGGCUGAGCCCGACGGUAUCACGCGGUGGCGAUGGGAGGAGAGGAGGGACUCGACAGCGGCUGGGAUAGCGGCCCGUCCGAGUCGCCCGGUGCGGGAGCGACGCGGGUGUUCCUCGCCUCCUUUGGUUCAUAGGAUAAGAUUAUCGUAGGAAUAAGAAACUCGUAGAAAAUGAGAUGACAUGUAUCUCAAAUCCUAUAAGUAGGAAUAGAAAAAAAAGAUGACAUUGGUUUACAUCAUAGAACCUGAAUUUUUUUUAUUAAGUCUAGGCUCAUGUUUAUUUUUCUAUGAAAUGUGAAGGAUAUGAACAAAUCCUAUGUAGGAAUAGAAAUUCAUUCCUAUGACCAAAGGGCUCUAAAGGGGAAAUUCUUAUAAGAAUCCUAUCCUAUAGAAUUCCUACAAAAUUCCUCCAAAUCAAAGAAGGCAUAAACUCCCAGCUCUGCAAACCAAAACUUUCUUCAUAAUCAAUGGAAGUCUUUUAUCAUUUUCAAGAAAAAUAUAUAUACGUGGAGGAGUAGAGCUUGCCAAACAGGCCGGCCCGUGCUAAUUGUGCUUGGCACGGCCAUGGCACGUUUAAUAACCAGGUCAGGCCGUGUAGGCAUCGGCUUGUGACACAUUUAGCAUGUUGGGUUGCAUGUUUUUCAGUAUUGGGCUGUAAUUUAGUGUGUGUGUGUAUAUAUAUAUAUAUAUAUAUAUAUAUAUAUAUAUAUAUAUAUAUUAACUGGGGCACCUAGGUGCCUGGGCACCUUGUUUGGGUCAACCCGUUAAGCAUUUGGAUGUAAGUGACGUGUAUCAUUAUUGAUUUGUUUCCUAAUUUACUCCAUGCAAGACUUUCCAUAUAUACGAGAUAGUAUUAAGCGUUUGAUUUUUUUCCUAGUUUACUCGCAUUCUUUCUACAGUGACACUUUCUACACAUACAAUUCAAAUAAAUUAGAUUCGGCAACCAUCUGAUCAUCUACGUUCAAUUUUGAAUCAUUUUUUCUACUUGAACUUAAGACAUGUACAUGUACGUGUUCCUAAUUUCCUUUUACGUAAUAAAAAUAUUUGUUCAUACACACAUACCUGAUACCCAUGUGUACAUAUUAUUAGACCGUGAUACCAGUUGAUGGGUAUCUAAUUAAAAUAUGUACAAGUUGGUGUUGGUAUUAUACUUAAUAAAAAUAUACACAUACCUACAAUAUUUUAUGUAACAAAAAAUACACACGUACUCAUGGUAUUAUACCUAACAAUAAUAUUCCGGAAUAUACCUAAUGAUAAUAUACCAGUUGGUGGGUAUUAUACCAAUUGUUGGGUAUUAUACCUAAUGAAAAUAUUUAUGGGUGUUGGUAUACCUAAUGAAAAUAUUUAUGUGUUGGGUACAUAUUAUUAGACGAUACCAAUUAUUGGGUAUCAUAUACAAUUAUUUGCGCCUAUGUACUUCAAAAAUAAGUAGUUAUAAUACCUACGUAUUUUUGGGGUAUGUACUCAUGCAUUUCACGUCGAGGUAUGUAGUUAUAGGAAAAUACGAUGAGUACGCCCAUACCUAAAAAAUAUCAAGUACUUUCAAUUUUGUGUAUCCAUAGAUAUUUGAAGUAUGCAGUUGAGUAUUAUACCUAACGAAAAUAUUCAUGUAUGGGUGUUAUACCUAAUCAAAAUGUACACAUAGCCGGGUAUUCAUCCAAUAAAAAUAUACACAUACUUAAGAUACGCCUGUGUACAUUUUGGUAAUUCAGUCAAAAUACGAAUCGUGCAUACCGUACUAACUACGAAUAGUUUUUCCUACAUUCCUACGGAGUAUCACAUUAAUUUCUAAUUUCUAUCUCCUGUUAUGUCUAUCAACAUGCAAUGUUGCCAUGCAUGCUACUUUUUUCUUUCCCACGAAAGGACUCUUGCCAUGUAUGGUGCAUGGAGUCAUAUUUAUGGCAUUCUUUUUUUGCAGGGUAUAUUUAUGGCAUUCAAUAAGUAUUUAUGCCACAAUUAAUUUGAUCGGAAAUUUGUAAUGGAAUAACCCGUUAACAACAAUAUCCGUUACAACAGCACACAUCUAAAUGCGAUCGAGUGGUGGAAAGGCAAGGAGUCUGGACACCUAGGUGCCCCAAACUGUUGUGCCGUGCUGGCCCGCAUGCCCAGCCUCUAGGCCCAGGCACGGCCUAGACGUGCCGCACGGCCCAUGCCGUGCCUGGCCCAUGGCAGGCCAUGCGGGCGUGCUCGUGGCUCGGCCCGUUUGGCCAGCUAGAUGAAGGGGGAGAAGCAGGUCACGAAGAUGUCUAUGCCCGCCGUGAUCAGGAGAGAAGAACUAUAUUUUCGCAACACGGCACUCAACCACCAGCAGAAUAAAAUACGCUUGUUCCACGGAUCCAAGGCUUUGAUUACGGGUAAUCUUGGCAGACAGGCAUGCAGAUGCAGGCCACCAUUUAUUCCCCUCGAUAAACAACAGUCCGCAGGACACGCGGCGGGGAGGGACAAAAGAAUCGCCAGCCAGUUCAUCUCCCGAAGGACACGGCAUUUAUUCCUUUCAACUAACCCCAUUUGCUAAUUUUAAAGCACCAAUUCCAAAAACCUUUCACUUCAAUGAUCAGCUACUACCUCGAGUCAUUUCACAGUAGCUGAGCCUGAGGAGAGAAUGGCUUAAUUCCGCAGCUCAACCUCGAUUCAUUUCCCAGCAGCUCAUAGAAGAGAAUGGUUCAAUUGCGCAGCUCAUGACCGCUGCAAGAAUUACUCAAUCUUCUCCCUUUUCCUCGUACUUGGCGAAAUGAAAUGAUGCACUAGUAGUAGUACUCCACUAACUGAGUUAAUUAUCACCAUCGAUUGAUUUAUGGUAUACUGUAGUCCUACGCAAAUGGAAUUGGCUUCAAGAUGGCAGGAGGGACAAGUGAGGCAGUGAGCAACAUGGCCUCCACUAACUCUUGUCUGUUGCCUCAACCAACCAACCUACUCCCUCCCCGGCCCAAAAAUAAACAGCAACGAUGUGCAAGGAUGGAGAAAGAGCAAAAUAUGGCUCUUCCUCCUCCAUCAUGCCAAGAUCUACAAAUUGGUGAUAGCACUUCAUCUCUAGAGACGAAAAUUGCGGAUGGUUCCACGCUCUAGAUCCACCUGAACGCCACAAGGAAAGCUCGUAGUAGAAAUUAUUUUUCUCCCGACACCAAUCAUUUAACAAUAGCAAAGCAUUCUCUUGAUACAGACAAGAAAGCAGCUCAAGUUCAUCAUCUUACUCCAAGAAGAUGAAGCGAAGAGGAUUCAGUCUUGAAAGAAUAACAAAUAUCUCUUCAUAUUAAGGCACAAAUCUCUCUUAUACUUUACAACAACGACGGCAACAAAUGUCCCAAUAGGCCAAUACAGCAGCGGCAACAACCAAAGAAAUUUAACUAAUAAAUAGUAGCAGUAGUAGUAUACUAGUGGCACCGCUUAAAGAACAGCACGAGAAGCAGCUUAUUUUUUAACCGAGAGGACGUGAUCUCUGGGCGCGGAUGUCCCCGUGGCUUAGCCGCGGCAGCGGGUGAUGCGUGAGCAGCCGCGGUGGUAGGGGUUGGCCUGGGCGCCGGGGCGGCAGUUGUAGUAGCUGGCGCCGCGGCGGUUGCAGGGGACGGUGCCCCUGCGCAGCGCGCCGUAGCUGAUGUAGCCGCGCCCCUGCAGCACGCGGCGAUGCGCCUCGGCCGACGCGGACCCGAGCUCCCCCUCCGCGUCCUCCCCGCCGCACUCGGCCACGGUGCCCCUGCACUCCCCGCGGCCGGCGCCGCCGGAGAGGAGGCCCAGCUGCAGGUGGUCCCCGCCGGCGAUGGACGAGGCGGAGGCGGACAGCGCGACGGCGAGCACGAGGAGGAGCAGCACGAGGCUCCUAACGCCGGCCAU
Molecule: long non-coding RNA, 19682 nt
Filed under: Triticum aestivum (bread wheat)
Lineage: Eukaryota; Viridiplantae; Streptophyta; Magnoliopsida; Poales; Poaceae
Description: long non-coding RNA (TAES_LNC008549)
Source: RNAcentral